CCUCUGGCUUUUUUAUUUUUUUCUCCUCCACUCAGACCUCAUUCUUCUCCACUGACCCAGAGAACACAGUGAAGAAGAAAUAAAAGGAGGGAAAAUAGAGGAGUUAGUGGAGAAAGAUAGAGACAAGUGGAUUACCCUUUCCUGGAGGAACCUCGUACAGAAGAGUGAGAGGGACAAUAGCAGGCACACUUUCCCCUGUGCCGCAUCUUCUCGUGCAUACAUCUCCUGCUGAGUGUGUGUGUAUCGUGCGGGUCUGUUUGGCCAGACUUGAGCCGUGUGGAUCUAUCUGGCCGGGCUGAAGCCAUGGGGCUGGCCAGCAGGGUGGCAGGAAGAGGGGGCACUUCAGCAGGGGCUCUUGCCACCCUCUUCAGAGUAGCUCUGCUCUUUUUUGGGCUUUGGGAUGUCCAGACGCAAACAGUCGCCAACACAAAACCCACUUACAUCUGGCAAACAGGGCCGUGGGGUAGGUGCAUGGGCAGCGAGUGUGGUCCGGGAGGAAGUCAAAGCAGAGCAGUAUGGUGUGCCCAUUCCGAGGGCUGGACCACGUUACACACCAACUGCCAGCAGUCGGAGCGACCCAGCAACCAACAGAGCUGCUUCCGGGUGUGCGAUUGGCACAAAGAGCUGUACGACUGGCAGCUAGGGGCCUGGAACCAGUGCGUGCCGGUGUCUAUGCGCAGUGCAGGUGUGCCAAGGCCAGCGGUGUGCACUCGGGGCGAAGAGGGCAUUCAGACGCGGGAAGUGGGCUGCGUGCACAAAUCGGAUGGCGUUCCCGCAGAAGAUACCAUCUGCGAGUACUUUGAGCCCAAGCCACGGUUAGAGCAGGCUUGCCUUAUCCCGUGCCCACGCGACUGCGUGGUGUCCGAAUUCUCCCCAUGGACGUCCUGCUCUAAGAGUUGUGGGAUGGGCCUGCAGAACCGCUUGCGAUGGGUUCUAGCCCCGCCCCUUUUUGGCGGUUCGGCUUGCCCCAACCUCACAGAGUUCCACACCUGCCAGCCGGGCCCCUGCGAGGGUGAGGAAAGCCUGCACAGCCUGAGGGUGGGACCUUGGGGCCCCUGCAUGGCUUCACCUAUACGACAGACCCGAGAAGCCAGAGAGCCCAAACCUGAACGGAAAGCAAAGCGAGAUCGGCAGGCCAGACAGGAACGCCAGGGCAAGCGUCGCAAGAACAAAGAGAAAAAAGAGGUGAAGGAAAACAAAGGAGAACGUGUGAAGGACAGGGUCAGGGUGAAGGGAAGGAUGAGGGACCCUGAGACCCAAGAGCUCAUCAAAAAGAAAAGGACGAGGAAUCGUCAGAACCGCCAGGGGUUGAAGUUCUGGGACCUGCAGGUGGGCUACCAGACCCGGGAGGUGACAUGUGUUCACCGGAGCGGAAGCACAGCGGCGCUCAGCCAGUGUAACCAGCAGACUCUUCCUGUGACAUAUCAAGCCUGUGUCAUCCCAAAGGACUGUGAAGUGGCCGAGUGGUCAGACUGGUCUGCCUGCUCAAAGGAGUGCUAUGAUCUGAAUGGGCGUAAGGGACAGCGGACACGCACACGUCAGGUGAAGCAGUUCCCCGUGGGUGGAGGAGCUGAGUGUCCUGAGCUGGAGGAGAGUGAACCGUGUUCUCCUCAAGGAGAAGGAAUCCCGCCGUGUAUAGUGUAUAAUUGGCGAACCACAGAGUGGAGUGACUGCAGGGUGGAUGUGCUCCUCAGCCAACAGGACCGUCGCCGGAGCAACCAGACAGGGCUCUGUGGAGGCGGGGUUCAAACCAGGGAGGUCUACUGCGUUCAAGCCCCCACUGAAACCUCAUCUAACCUCAGCUCUCUCAAGAACAAAGACGGCUUGCGGCCAGUGAACAGUGACCUGUGUUUGGGCGUUUCUCCUAACACCACCCAGCUCUGCCAUAUUCCCUGUCCUGUGGAGUGUGAGGUGUCCUCCUGGAGCGCAUGGGGGCCCUGCACCUUUGAAAACUGCCAGGAUCAGUCCACAAAGAAAGGUUUCAAACUGAGGAAAAGGAAAAUCCUGAAUGAGCCCACAGGUGGCACAGGAAAUUGUCCCCACCUGACGGAGGCAAUUCCCUGUGAGGAGCCCAGUUGCUAUGAAUGGCUGCUGGUGAAGCUGGAGGAGUGUGUGCCUGACAAUGACAAAGUAUGUGGACCCGGAACCCAGAACCCACAGGCACAGUGCGUCAACAGUGACGGUGAAUAUGUGGACAGGCAGCUGUGCCGGGAUGCCAUCCUUCCCAUGCCUGUGCUGUGCGAGGUGCCCUGCCCCAAAGACUGUGUGCUCAGUCCCUGGACUUCAUGGUCUCUGUGCUCCAAUACCUGCUCGGGGAAGAACUCGGAGGGCAAGCAGACCAGAUCACGCUCCAUUCUGGCAUACAACGCUGGGGACGGUGGAGGUCAGUGCCCCAACAGCAGCGCCUUGCAGGAGGUCCGCAACUGCAAUGAUCAUCCCUGCACUGUGUACCACUGGCAGACAGGGCCCUGGGGUCAGUGCAUAGAGGACACCUCCGUUCCGUCUGCCAACAGCUCGCUCAGCCGCACCAGAGCAGGAGUCGGCACUAAUGAGGCGUUCUGCUCGGUCGGAAUGCAGACACGUAAAGUCAUUUGUGUCCGGGUCAAUGUGGGCCAGGUGCCACCUAAAAAGUGUCCAGAAAGUCUGCGCCCGGAGACUGUAAGGCCAUGUCUUCUGCCCUGCAAGAGAGACUGCAUUGUCACUCCAUACAGUGAUUGGACACCCUGCCCUUCCUUCUGCCAGACAGGUGGUGCCGUCAAAAAGAAGCAAUCAAGGAAACGCAUUAUCAUUCAGCUUCCAGCUAACGGGGGCCAAGACUGUCCAGAAGUGCUCUCCCAGGAGAAGGAAUGUGAUGCCUUGUCUGUUUGUCCAGGCUACAGGUGGAAAACCCACAAGUGGCGUAGGUGUCAGCUGGUGCCCUGGACCAUUCGUCAGGACAGUCCUGGAGCACAAGAGACCUGUGGACCAGGACUACAGGCUAGAGCCGUAUCAUGUAAAAAGUUGGAUGGUGGACCUGCAGACAUUGCAGCCUGUCUUAAGUUUGCAGGUCCUAUGCCUCAACUCACUCAGUCCUGCCAGCUUCCAUGCCAGGAUGACUGCCAGCUGACCACCUGGUCCAAAUUCUCAUCCUGCGCUGCUGAUUGUGUGGGUGUCCGAACUAGGAAAAGGACUCUUGUUGGUAAAAGCAAAAAGAGAGAGCAAUGUAAAAACACACAGAUGUAUCCUCUGAGCGAAACCCAGUACUGCCCCUGCAACAAGUACAAUGCCCAGCCGGUGGGGAAUUGGUCCGACUGCAUCCUGCCCGAGGGUGGGCGAGUAGAGGGUCUUUUGGGUAUGAAAGUUCAAGGUGAUAUUAAGGAGUGUGGCCAGGGUUACCGGUUUCAAGCCAUGGUGUGCUAUGACCAGGACAACCGCCUCGUGGAGACGUCACGCUGCAACAGUCACGGUUACAUAGAGGAAGCGUGUAUCAUCCCAUGUCCAUCUGACUGUAAGCUCAGCGAGUGGUCAAACUGGUCCCGUUGCAGUAAGUCCUGUGGCAGUGGAGUCAAAGUACGGUCUAAGUGGCUUCGAGAGAAACCUUAUAACGGUGGCAGGCCCUGCCCCAAGCUAGACCAUGUCAAUCAGGCUCAGGUGUAUGAAGUGGUACCAUGUUUGAGCGACUGCAGUCAGUAUGUCUGGGUGGCUGAGCCGUGGAGCGUCUGGAAGGUCAGUAAUGUUGAUCUGAAGGAGAACUGCGGGGAAGGUGUACAGACGAGGAAAGUUAGGUGCAUGCAAAACACUGUCGAUGGACCUUCAGACCCUGUAGAAGACUAUCUCUGUGAUCCAGAGGAGAUGCUGCUUGGAGCCAGAGAGAGCAAGUUGCCCUGUCCUGGGGACUGUGUUUUAACUGACUGGGGCCCUUGGAGUCGAUGCCCAUUGCCAUGCAAUGUGAAUAGUACAAGGCAGAGGAGUGCCAGCCCUAUGCGUCAGCCUGGGGAAGAGAAACAGUGUCCUUCAACUACAGAGAAAGAAACGUGCACCCUGAACACCAACUGCUUCCAUUACUCCUAUAAUAUUACAGACUGGAGCACAUGUCAGCUGAGUGAACGAGCCGUAUGUGGGGUUGGAUUCAAGACACGCAUGCUUGACUGUGUUCGCAGUGAUGGCAAGUCUGUGGACCUCAAGUUUUGCGAUGAGCUUGGUCUCGAGAAAAAAUGGCAGAUGAACGCUUCCUGUGUGGUCGAGUGCCCUGUCAACUGCCAGCUGUCUGAUUGGUCGUCCUGGUCUGAAUGCUCUCACACCUGCGGUCUUGCAGGGAAGCUCUGGAGAAGGAGAACUGUGAUCCAGGCCUCUCAGGGAGAUGGACGGCCAUGUUCCUCACAGCUGGAACAGUGGAAGCCCUGUCCUGUUAAACCCUGCUACAGCUGGAGGUACAGUGCCUGGUCUCCAUGCAAAUCUGAGGGUGCGCGGUGUGGAGAGGGACUGCGCUUCAGGAACGUGUCCUGCUUUGUGUCUGAUGGCUCGGGGAAGGAUCCGGGCAGUAUGGUGGAUGAUGAACUGUGUGGAGACCUGGAGCAGACUGUGGAUGGGGACAAACAGAUCAUCCUGCAGGAGUCCUGCACGGUGCCCUGCCCAGGUGAGUGUUACCUGACAGAAUGGACUGUGUGGAGCCCGUGUCAGCUGAGCUGUAUCAGCGGGGACGAUCUGGGCUUCGGUUCGGUGCAGGUGCGUUCUCGUGCCGUUCUAGCUCAGGAACCUGAGAACCUUCUUCAGUGUCCAGAACAGGAAUGGGAAGCCAGGCCAUGUACAGAGGGCCAGUGUUAUGAGUACAAAUGGAUGACAGGUCCAUGGAAAGUCUCGUCUCGACAAGUUUGGUGCCAGCGCUCUGAUGGAUUGAAUGUCACAGGUGGAUGCCCGUUGACAAGCGAGCCGGUGUCUGACAGAUCAUGUGACCCAGCCUGCGACAAACUUCGCUCCUACUGCACUGAGGCUGGUGUAUGCGGCUGCGAGGAGGGUUACACUGAGGUGAUGACUUCUGAUGGAGUGUUGGACCAGUGCACAGUCAUACCGGUGCUUGAGAUCCCCACUGCAGGAGACAGUAAGGCUGAUGUGAAGACGAUCCGAGCCCUCAACCCCACUCAGCCCACCGCCAACCUCCCGGGCCGCUCCGGACGCACCUGGUUCCUCCAGCCCUUCGGACCCGAUGGCAAACUGAAGACCUGGGUGUAUGGUGUGGCAGCUGGAGCUUUUGUACUGCUAGUGUUCAUUGUCUCUAUGACUUACUUAGCCUGUUUUUGUAUGCUGGCCCGGCGCUCUCCUCCGAGCCCGGACCCUUCCAUUACCUCUGUGGUUUGGGUCGGACCCAACGACCAAGAGCUGAUAUAUACCUGUCCUGACUGUCAGCGCAUUGAGACUCAGUUCAACUAGAGCUCUCAGCUCAGUCCCUUCCCUCAUGGCCUUGCCCUGUGGCCAGUCAUGUCCAUCACCUAUGCCUUCAGUUCUCACUGUCACAUGUGCCUUUCUGACCAGUCACAUGGAGCUGUUUGGUGGAGCAAAAAGCCAAAGAAGCCCCAGAGAAGACAGAUGAACAACAGACUCAAGCCUCUGACGCUGGCUUACGACGGCGACGCUGACAUGUAGCCUAACCACGUUCGCUUCGUACUACAGAUACUCGCCUCCUUUCACAGUCGGCCAUCAGUACAAGCCUCAAACAAGGAGACUCACUCAAACUCACCGACUGCUUUUUAUAAGACGCUAAUGGAACCUCAGAGAGAGACUCGAUCCGUGUUUAUAUAAUGUUUCUCCCCCCUCCUUUUUUUACGUUCAAGUUUUAUUUUUACUUUAUUUCACGAGAGCCUUCAUAAACUCUUCAAAAGUCUUCUUCAGGAAGUCUGCCUUCACCUCUUUGCCACUGACAUCUUUCUGUAACAUAGACUUUAGUCUUUCGGGAAGAAAGUUGCAGGACCUUUUUGAAAUUGGGAAGUUUUUUGCUGAGAAAGCACACAAAAAUGCCCGUCUCCUGUUUAGUCGCACUUCUUGUCAGCUCCUGCAGUAUGUACAUUAUCUGUGGCUGUUGGGAAGUCGCAUGUUCAGACAAACUAAAUGCACAAUAGCAUUUUCAGCCCCGAAACGCCCAAUAUUGUGUGAUCAAAAGAUUAAAAGACUGCAGAUUGAAUGGGCUCACUAGCGCCCCCUAUAGAAACUCUGGCCUGCCUUUCCCCCUUUUCUGUAUCCAGGCUCCAUUUUGCACUAUAUUAGUGCAGCAUGAACAUUUACUUAUAGCAUUGCCAUAGAAAACUGCCUCUCGCAAAACAAGAUGAUGUACAGUCUUGUGCUAGACACGUUUCUUUAAAAAAAAAAAAAAAAAAGAGAGCGAGAGAGAACAAAAGUAGCCCUUUUUCUUCUGAUGGAACUCACUGGUGUUUGUUUAUACAUACUUGUUUACUGGUUACCUCCUGUUUGUGAUAAAGGGGCCGUUGAAAAGAUUUUUGUGGACUCCACAAACCCCCCUGUUGUAUGUACAGUUGCAAUCAGCCAUGUGUUUGCUUUCUUUGCCUGAUUGACUCGUGUAUUCAAUGGUCCUUUUCACCUUAGAGAUCCAGGUCGGUGAAGUUUCCCAUGUGUUUCAGUCUUUCGUCUCUGAUUCCAAGGGCUCUGUGUUCAUAAUUCGAGCGCUUUUAACAGUAUGAUGUUUGAUUUACUGAUCCUACUGUGUCUGUGUGAACCAGUUCUGUUUGCAGUUUAUAUAACGUGACUGUCUAACACAAUAACAGCAUGCAGUUUCAUAUCAGCUAGAUUCGGAAAGAGCCAAUACUCUGAUACUGAAAGAUUACUUUUGGAAACAUUCGUUUGACAUUAUGAACCUGAUUUGAGGUUGAACAAAUCUCAGCUCAUUCAUUAGAAUGAAGAAACGCUGUGGUUUGUGCUGAGACAUUAUGUAAGGGAUGGUGUACAGUGAGCUGGUUAUUAUUGCAAAAUAAUGAUUUCUAAUAUAAAUGAUAGAAGAAACUUAAGCAGAAUGUUGCCUUUGCAACUAACUUGAAACAAAAUAAUACAGAAAAUAAAAUGGAACAUUCUAUGACAUAUCUAUAAUUUCAUCAUGUAUCUAUCUAUUUAAUUUAUUCUGUUAAAUCACAUCAUAAUGCACUGUUGCUUCUCAUGUAAAUCAAUCUUGUUUAGAAACUAAAAAUUGUGCAGUGUAUCCAUACAAAUAGACUAAUAUAUUCAAAGAAAUGUUUGAAUAUACAUUAGGCAAAUAUUGUACCCCGUUUCUGUACCCACACUGCCCCCUCAUAACCAUCAUCAUCAUCAAUGAACACUCAUCAUUUUCAAAUGCUAAAAUUAAAACUAAAACUGAAAUAAAACUUGACAAGCACAUACCAAAAUGACUAAAAUGAAAAUGGACCGUAUGAAUUAAAAGCUAAUUCAAAACAUUAAUAAUUAAAUGAACAAUACUAAAAUUACACCAGCUUACUGUACACAAUCCUGCUUAUUACACGGUUAUUUGGCAAAUACACAUUGACAUUGAAAAUUGAUUUAAAUAAUUUUAUAAUUUUACUUUUAUAUUACUGUAAAGCUUACACUAAGAAAAAAAGUUAGUUCCAAAAUACAGAACAAUCAGCCUAGCAACAAGACAACACUGCAACAUUACAGUAAUAUUAAAACUGAAGACAUUUAAUGUGAUACAUUAACUGAGACAUUAGAUGGCGCCAGUUGCGUUUUACUUGAAAGUGAAGCCAGUCUGAUAUACAGUGUUGCCAUAAAUGAUGAUUGACCAAACUAGAAUAUUCCAGAGAUCUGUGCAGUAAGGGGUUGUAAUGUUCAGUUUUCAAAGGAAAAUAUCUUCUUUUUUUUUUUUUUUUUAUUAUUUAGUAUUUUUAUUUAUUUAUUUUUCUUUUUUAAAUUUCAUUAUUAUUUAUUUAUUUAUUUUAUAAGGGUGCAAUUAUUUGUCACCAUGCCAUGAACCUGCGUAUAAGUAAUCACACACCAACAACGAUUGGUAACGAUAUGUGGAUUCAGAUAAGACUGGAAUGGUCAUCAGUGUCACCGACCGUCUAAAAAUUGGGUUGAAAAGCACAAAUAAGUAGGUUAGGGCCACUUUUUCCAAAAACCAUAUCUACAGUGAAUGAACUAUGGGCGCUAUUGAUCUCUAAAGGCAUAUCAUUGAAUUUGCUUUCAAAUGCAGCGGGUGAAAGGAAUGUUUACUUGUGUUAAUGCUUGUUUUGUUAAUUUGUAAAUACAUGAAUGAUCUUUUAUUUAAUGAUUUCUUUAUUAUAUAUAAAUUUGUUCAUUUCUUUUUUUACUACACAAAGUGUUUAGUAUAAACCUCUCAAAGUGUGUCUGAUGGUAUGUGUGUGUGGAGGGAGUGUGUUUUGUGUGAGAGAGAGUCUAUUGUUACUGAUCUUGGCUGGGGCGAACCAAGUUACUGUGUGAAAAUGUUGCUUUCUUCUUUUCCUACAGGUUGUUUAUAUGUGUCUGAUGAAUUGCUGAUAAUAAACAAGAAAAACA
Molecule: RNA transcript, 8487 nt
Organism: Onychostoma macrolepis
Lineage: Eukaryota; Metazoa; Chordata; Actinopteri; Cypriniformes; Cyprinidae
Gene: thsd7aa
Gene name: thrombospondin, type I, domain containing 7Aa
Exons: 28
Source: RefSeq, a predicted model, not a curated record